Molecule: long non-coding RNA, 314 nt
Filed under: Chinchilla lanigera (long-tailed chinchilla)
Lineage: Eukaryota; Metazoa; Chordata; Mammalia; Rodentia; Chinchillidae
Description: lncRNA (ENSCLAG00000023767.1)
Source: RNAcentral
GGAGCACACACAUUGUCUUUUUCACUUCUGAGAUGUCUGCCAUGGCAGAGAGACUGGGAAGGACGAUUACCACAAUGCAACAAGACCUUUCUGGAAGACAGAACGAAUGGAUUUUUCACGUGGCGCCACAAUGUAGGUUUUCAAGCAGCUGAAGGCCUGAGGUUUUUCUCCCGUGCACUCUAGGAGACCCAGCCAAGGGGCAGCACUUAGGGGGAGAAUUUUUGCCUAUAGCACCAGCAGGCUCCGGUGAUUUGUUUAACGAGCAAAUCUGGCUUUUAUCAACGUAAAUAGCAGCUCUGUUCCUAGGCUAAUAA